GAUGAAGAACGUAGCGAAAUGCGAUACUUGGUGUGAAUUGCAGAAUCCCGUGAACCAUCGAGUCUUUGAACGCAAGUUGCGCCCGAAGCCAUUAGGCCGAGGGCACGCCUGCCUGGGCGUCACACGUCGUUGCCCCCCAUCUACUCCUUCGGGAUUGCGGGGGGCGGAUGAUGGCCUCCCGUGCGCCACGCCGCGCGGUUGGCAUAAAUGCCAAGUCCUCGGCGACGCACGCCACGACAAUCGGUGGUUGCGAAACCUCGGUUGCCCGUCGUGUGCGGUCGUCGCGCAUCGAGGGCUCGAAAAAAUUGCUGGGUUCCGGCUCGGCUUUCAACGCGACCCCAGGUCAGGCGGGGUUACCCGCUGAAUUUAAGCAUAUCAAUAAGCGGAGGA
This 390-nucleotide unclassified non-coding RNA is filed under the name soil metagenome. RNAcentral describes it as "partial contains 5.8S ribosomal RNA, internal transcribed spacer 2, and large subunit ribosomal RNA". The stretch from base 1 to 122 matches the Rfam family "5.8S ribosomal RNA", at positions 35 to 154 of the family's 154-position model. The record is from RNAcentral.